AGAGUUUGAUCUGGCUCAGGACGAACGCUGGCGGCGUGCCUAAUACAUGCAAGUCGAGCGAGCGGAACCAACAGAUUUACUUCGGUAAUGACGUUGGGAAAGCGAGCGGCGGAUGGGUGAGUAACACGUGGGGAACCUGCCCCUAAGUCUGGGAUACCAUUUGGAAACAGGUGCUAAUACCGGAUAAUAAAGCAGAUCGCAUGAUCAGCUUUUGAAAGGCGGCGUAAGCUGUCGCUAAGGGAUGGCCCCGCGGUGCAUUAGCUAGUUGGUAAGGUAACGGCUUACCAAGGCGACGAUGCAUAGCCGAGUUGAGAGACUGAUCGGCCACAUUGGGACUGAGACACGGCCCAAACUCCUACGGGAGGCAGCAGUAGGGAAUCUUCCACAAUGGACGCAAGUCUGAUGGAGCAACGCCGCGUGAGUGAAGAAGGUUUUCGGAUCGUAAAGCUCUGUCGUUGGUGAAGAAGGAUAGAGGUAGUAACUGGCCUUUAUUUGACGGUAAUCAACCAGAAAGUCACGGCUAACUACGUGCCAGCAGCCGCGGUAAUACGUAGGUGGCAAGCGUUGUCCGGAUUUAUUGGGCGUAAAGCGAGCGCAGGCGGAAAAAUAAGUCUAAUGUGAAAGCCCUCGGCUUAACCGAGGAACUGCAUCGGAAACUGUUUUUCUUGAGUGCAGAAGAGGAGAGUGGAACUCCAUGUGUAGCGGUGGAAUGCGUAGAUAUAUGGAAGAACACCAGUGGCGAAGGCGGCUCUCUGGUCUGCAACUGACGCUGAGGCUCAAAGCAUGGGUAGCGAACAGGAUUAGAUACCCUGGUAGUCCAUGCCGUAAACGAUGAGUGCUAAGUGUUGGGAGGUUUCCGCCUCUCAGUGCUGCAGCUAACGCAUUAAGCACUCCGCCUGGGGAGUACGACCGCAAGGUUGAAACUCAAAGGAAUUGACGGGGGCCCGCACAAGCGGUGGAGCAUGUGGUUUAAUUCGAAGCAACGCGAAGAACCUUACCAGGUCUUGACAUCUAGUGCAAUCUGUAGAGAUACGGAGUUCCCUUCGGGGACGCUAAGACAGGUGGUGCAUGGCUGUCGUCAGCUCGUGUCGUGAGAUGUUGGGUUAAGUCCACCAACGAACGCAACCCCUAUGACCCGUUGCCAUCAGGUAAAGCUGGGAACUCAGGUCACACUGCUGGUUUACGCCAGAGGAAGGUGGGGAGGACGUCAAGUCAGUAUGGCCCUUACAUCCAGGGCUGCACACGUGCUACAAUGGCAUAUACAGAGCGACGCGAGACCGCGAGGUGGAGCAAAUCGCACAGAGUAUGCCUCAGUUCGGAUUGGGGUCUGCAACCCGACCCCAUGAAGUCGGAUUUGCUAGUAACGGCGUAUCAGCUACGACGCCGUGAAUGCGUUCCCGGGCCUUGUACACACCGCCCGUCA
Molecule: ribosomal RNA, 1423 nt
Filed under: uncultured bacterium
Lineage: Bacteria
Description: bacterial SSU rRNA
Rfam family: Bacterial small subunit ribosomal RNA
Source: RNAcentral